RNAcentral lists this ribosomal RNA (1474 nucleotides) under uncultured bacterium. Its description in RNAcentral is "bacterial SSU rRNA". It matches the Rfam family "Bacterial small subunit ribosomal RNA". The record is from RNAcentral.
AGAGUCUGAUCAUGGCUCAGAAUGAACGCUGGCGGCGUGCCUAAUACAUGCAAGUCGAACGAGGACCUUUGUACUCGUACGAAGGUGUCCAGGUGGCGAACGGGUGAGUAACACGUAGGUGACCUGCCCCGAAGAGGGGGACAACCCCGGGAAACUGGGGCUAAUACCCCAUGACCUCCAGGGAGUUAGAGGGCCCUGGAGCAAAGGAGCAAUCCGCUUCGGGAGGGGCCUGCGGCCCAUCAGCUAGUUGGUAGGGUAAUGGCCUACCAAGGCGACGACGGGUAGGGGACCUGAGAGGGUGGCCCCCCACACUGGCACUGACACACGGUCCAGACAUCUACGGAUGGCUGCAGUAGGGAAUAUUGCCCAAUGGUCGAAAGCCUGAGGCAGCAACGCCGCGUGCGCGAUGAAGGCCUUCGGAUUGUAUAGCGCUUUUCUGGCGGAAGAGGAAGGACGGUACCCCAUGAAUAAGUCUCGGCUAACUACGUGCCAGCAGCCGCGGUAAAACGUAGGAGGCAUGCGUUAUCCGGAUCUACUGAGCGUAAAGCGCGUGUAGGCGGUUUGGUAAGUCAGACGUGAAAGCUCCCGGCUCAACUGUGAGACGCCGUUCGAUACUGCCAGGCUAGAGGGCAGUAGAGGGAGGUGGAAUUCUGGGUGUAGCGGUGAAGUGCGUAGAUAUCCAGAGUAACACCGGUGACGAAGGCGUGCCUCCUGGUCUGUCCCUGACGCUCAGACGCGAAAGAUAGGCUAGCGAACGACAUUAGAUACCCCGCUAGUCCUAGCCGUAAACGAUGCAUACUUGAUGUUGGUGGUUUACAAACCUUCAGAGCCGAAGCUAACGCUGUAAGUCUGCCGCCUGGGGGCUUCGGUCGCAAGGCUAAAACUCAAAGGAAUGCACGGGGCGCCGCACAAGCAGCGGAGCGUGUGGUCUACUUCGAGCCUACGCGAAGAUCCUUUCCUGGGUUCGUCAUGCACGUAGUAGGGAUCCGAAAGGUGGCCGACCCUUCGGGGAGCGUGCACAGCUGCUUCAUGGCUGUCGUCAGACUCGUGGCGUGAGGUGUCCGGUUAAGUCCGGUAACGAGCGCAACCCUUCCCCUGUGAUUCAAGCGUCACAGGGGACCUCCCGGAUAAAACCGGAGGAAGGUGGGGAAGGCGUCAAAUCACCCUGGCCCUUAUAUCCCGGGCUUCCCCCCCUCUUCCAUGGCCGGUCCCAUGGGUUGCGAACCCGCGAGGUGGAGCCAACCCUCCAAAACCGGUCUCAGUUCGGAUUGUAGGCUGCAACUCGCCUGCAUGAAGUCGGAGUUGCUAGUAACCGCAGAUCAGCAGUGCCGCGGUGAAUACGUUCCCGGGGCUUGUACACCCCGCCCGUCACGUCAUGGAAGCUGGCAACACCCGAAGUCGGUUCCCUAACCGCAAGGAGGCAGCUGCCUAAGGUGGGGCUGGUAACUGGGGCGAAGUCAGUAACAAGGUAACC